This 206-nucleotide ribosomal RNA is filed under the name uncultured eukaryote. Its description in RNAcentral is "partial 18S ribosomal RNA". It matches the Rfam family "Eukaryotic small subunit ribosomal RNA", at positions 1299 to 1458 of the family's 1831-position model. The record is from RNAcentral.
UGGUGGAGCGAUUUGUCUGGUUAAUUCCGUUAACGAACGAGACCUCUGCUUUUAAAUAAUUUUGCUAAAUCUAGUAUAUGAGUGAAUAAUGUAUUGUGUGAUCUUCGCGGUGAUCACAGUAUGUUGGGAUCUUUCUACAUUUGGUUAUUAAAAAUUUCUUAAAAGGACAGCUGGCAACAAGUCAGAGGAAGUUAGAGGCUAAAACA